Molecule: ribosomal RNA, 541 nt
Filed under: uncultured bacterium
Lineage: Bacteria
Description: bacterial SSU rRNA
Rfam family: Bacterial small subunit ribosomal RNA
Source: RNAcentral
UGCAGUCGUACGCACGCGCUUCGGCGCGUGAGUGGCGCACGGCUGAGUAACACGUGGGAACCCGCCCUCCGGUGGGGGAUAACGCGACGAAAGUCGCGCUAAUCCCGCAUACGUCCGCAAGGGGAAAGCGCUUCGGCGCGCCGGAGGAGGGGCCUGCGGCCCAUCAGGUGGUUGGUGGGGUAACGGCCUACCAAGCCGAUGACGGGUAGCUGGUCUGGGAGGAUGACCAGCCAGACUGGGACUGAGACACGGCCCAGACUCCUACGGGAGGCAGCAGCAAGGAAUUUUCGGCAAUGGGCGCAAGCCUGACCGAGCAACGCCGCGUGCGGGAUGACGGCCUUCGGGUUGUAAACCGCUUUUCGGGGGGACGACUACGACGGUACCCCCGGAAGAAGCCCCGGCUAACUCUGUGCCACGCAGCCGCGGUAAGACAGAGGGGGCGAGCGUUGUCCGGAGUUACUGGGCGUAAAGCGCGCGCAGGCGGUGGUCUCAGUGUCGUGUGAAAGCCCCCGGCUCAACCGGGGGAGGUCAUGGCAAACUA